CAAAGGGAUGCCUUAGUAGCGGGCGAGUGAAGCGGCAAAAGCUCAAAUUUGAAAUCUGGCUCUUUCAGAGUCCGAGUUGUAAUUUGAAGAAGGUAUCUUUGGGUCUGGCUCUUGUCUAUGUUUCUUGGAACAGAACGUCACAGAGGGUGAGAAUCCCGUGCGAUGAGAUGAUCCAGGCCUAUGUAAAGUUCCUUCGAAGAGUCGAGUUGUUUGGGAAUGCAGCUCUAAGUGGGUGGUAAAUUCCAUCUAAAGCUAAAUAUUGGCGAGAGACCGAUAGCGAACAAGUACAGUGAUGGAAAGAUGAAAAGAACUUUGAAAAGAGAGUGAAAAAGUACGUGAAAUUGUUGAAAGGGAAGGGCUUGAGAUCAAACUUGGUAUUUUGUAUGUUACUUCUUCGGGGGUGGCCUCUACAGUUUAUCGGGCCAGCAUCAGUUUGGGCGGUAGGAGAAUUGCGUUGGAAUGUGGCACGGCUUCGGUUGUGUGUUAUAGCCUUCGUCGAUACUGCCAGCCUAGACAGAGGACUGCGGUUUAUACCUAGGAUGUUGGCAUAAUGAUCUUAAGUCGCCCGUCUUGAGC
Molecule: ribosomal RNA, 576 nt
Filed under: Candida albicans
Lineage: Eukaryota; Fungi; Ascomycota; Pichiomycetes; Serinales; Debaryomycetaceae
Description: partial large subunit ribosomal RNA
Rfam family: Eukaryotic large subunit ribosomal RNA
Source: RNAcentral